This 431-nucleotide ribosomal RNA is filed under the name uncultured bacterium. Its description in RNAcentral is "bacterial SSU rRNA". It matches the Rfam family "Bacterial small subunit ribosomal RNA", at positions 29 to 506 of the family's 1533-position model. The record is from RNAcentral.
ACGAACGCUGGCGGCAUGCCUAACACAUGCAAGUCGAACGAGACCUUCGGGUCUAGUGGCGCACGGGUGCGUAACGCGUGGGAAUCUGCCCUUGGGUUCGGAAUAACAGUUAGAAAUGACUGCUAAUACCGGAUGAUGUCUUCGGACCAAAGAUUUAUCGCCCAGGGAUGAGCCCGCGUAGGAUUAGGUAGUUGGUGGGGUAAAGGCCUACCAAGCCGACGAUCCUUAGCUGGUCUGAGAGGAUGAUCAGCCACACUGGGACUGAGACACGGCCCAGACUCCUACGGGAGGCAGCAGUGGGGAAUAUUGGACAAUGGAGGAAACUCUGAUCCAGCCAUGCCGCGUGAGUGAUGAAGGCCUUCGGGUUGUAAAGCUCUUUCGGGUGUGAAAAUGAUGAUGGUAACACCAGAAGAAGCCCCGGCUAACUCCGU